CUCCUACGGGAGGCAGCAGUGGGGAAUUUUGGACAAUGGGCGCAAGCCUGAUCCAGCCAUGCCGCGUGUCUGAAGAAGGCCUUCGGGUUGUAAAGGACUUUUGUUAGGGAAGAAAAGGAUAGUGUUAAUACCAUUAUCUGCUGACGGUACCUAAAGAAUAAGCACCGGCUAACUACGUGCCAGCAGCCGCGGUAAUACGUAGGGUGCGAGCGUUAAUCGGAAUUACUGGGCGUAAAGCGAGCGCAGACGGUUUAUUAAGCAAGAUGUGAAAUCCCCGAGCUUAACUUGGGAACUGCGUUUUGAACUGGUAAGCUAGAGUAUGUCAGAGGGGGGUAGAAUUCCACGUGUAGCAGUGAAAUGCGUAGAGAUGUGGAGGAAUACCGAUGGCGAAGGCAGCCCCCUGGGAUAAUACUGACGUUCAUGCUCGAAAGCGUGGGUAGCAAACAGGAUUAGAUACCCUGGUAGUCCACGCCCUAAACGAUGUCAAUUAGCUGUUGGGGCACUUGAUGCCUUAGUAGCGAAGCUAACGCGUGAAAUUGACCGCCUGGGGAGUACGGUCGCAAGAUUAAAACUCAAAGGAAUUGACGGGGGCCCGCACAAG
This 601-nucleotide ribosomal RNA is filed under the name uncultured bacterium. RNAcentral describes it as "bacterial SSU rRNA". It matches the Rfam family "Bacterial small subunit ribosomal RNA", at positions 336 to 929 of the family's 1533-position model. The record is from RNAcentral.